This is a non-coding RNA of Pelobates cultripes (western spadefoot toad), 396 nucleotides long. NCBI's taxonomy places the organism in Eukaryota, Metazoa, Chordata, Amphibia, Anura, Pelobatidae. The record is from the annotation of a GenBank genome assembly.
GGUCCAAUAUGGUGGCAAUCAAAUGACAACAACAUAUUGAUGAUAAUCCUAAACUUCAAUACAUCUUGAGCUCUAAUUAACUUUCAGAAUGGCUGUUUUAGAAAAGACGCACGUAAUGUGCCAUUUAUGUGCAACAAAUGUAACUUAAUACAUGAGAACUCUGAUGCCCCCUCUGACCAUGUGUGGAUCUGCAAGCUGAAAAAUAGCCAGUACAAAAUUUCAAAUGCGUGAAAAAAGGGUAAACAUGAACUUUUACCUCAGCCGGUUAAUUUCUAAGCAAAUAUUAUGGACGAAUGGACAAAUGUUGCAUAUUUUCGCAUCAAUUUGCACAAUUCCAGAGAACUGUAAUGCAAAAAUCCCAUGUGAUUCUGUUCACUUUUCAAUUUUAUCAAAACA